AGAGAACACAGUAUUAUAUCAGGACCUAUAGACACUAAACCAAGAGGAAUAUAAAAUAUAUUUCCUCUGUUCUGAUUGACAGGUUGUUUGAGCUCCUUCAAAGUGACAGGAUACUCUGGAGGAACUGUCAUCCUCUACUGUAAAUAUUCACAUCGUCAUGACGACAAUCAAAAUAUUUCACUGAUGGCAACAGCAAGGAUCAAAUCAAAACUGGAUUGAAGAACACCUGGGUACACAGUGGUAGAUUCUCUCUGUAUGACAACACUGGAGGAAACUACUUCAAGGUGAUCAUCAGACAACUGACCAGAAAAGAUGAAGGGACCUACUGGUGUGGAGUGGACAAACCUACUAUACCUGACAGUUAUACCAAGGUAGAGCUGGAUGUGAAGAAGGAUGACUGCUGUGAGAAGUCAGUCACAGAGACGGCCUAUCUGGGAGGAGAAGCUACCAUCAGAUGCAACUAUCCAGAGGACCAUGAGGACAGCAUCAAGUAUUUCUGCAAGGAAAGCAAUGACUUCAAGACAUGUGUUUAUAUGAUCUCUGCUUACCAGACAACUACAAAAGCUGGCCGUUUCUCUGUGUCUGACAACAGAAGAGAGAGAUUCUCCACAGUGACCAUCAGUGACCUGACUGCAGACUACACUAGAUGUAUCCUCUCUGUGGGACCUGAGCCCUAGGACCAUGCCUCAGGACUACCUGGCUUGAUGACUCCUUGCUGUCCCCAGUUCACCUAGCCGUGCUGCUGCUCCAGUUCCAACUGUUCUGCCUGCAGCUAUGGAACCCUGACCUGUUCACCGGACGUGCUACCUGUCCCAGACCUGUUGUCCCAGACCUGCUGGAACCCUGACCUAUUCACCAGACGUGCUACCUGUCCCAGACCUGCUGUCCCAGACCUGCUGUCCCAGACCUGCUGGAACCCUGACCUAUUCACCGGACGUGCGACCUGUCCCAGACCUGCUGUUUUCAACUCUCUAGAGACAGCAGGAGCGGUAGAGAUACUCUCAAAGAUCGGCUAUGAAAAAGCCAACUGACCCUUACUCUUGUGUUACUGACUUGUUGCACCCUCGACAACUACUAUGAUUAUUAUUAUUUGACCAUGCUGGUCAUUUAUGAACAUUUGAACAUCUAGGCCUUGUGCUGUUAUAAUCUCCACCCGGCACAGCCAGAAGAGGACUGGCCACCCCUCAUAGCCUGGUUCCUCUCUAGGUUUCUUCCUAGGUUUUGGCCUUUCUAGGGAGUUUUUCCAAGCCACCGUGCUUCUACACCUGCAUUGCUUGCUGUUUGGGGUUUUAGGCUGGGUUUCUGUACAGCACUUUGAGAUAUCAGCUGAUGUAAGAAGGGCUAUAUAAAUAUAUUUGAUUUGAUUUGAUCUUUCAACGGAUCUGGAAAAUAAACUUUUACAUAUUCAAAUGGUUAGUGUUAGAUAUGUCUGUAUGUAGUGUUAUGAUAUGAGGGUAGGUUAGUGUUUGACAUGUCUGUAUGUAGUGUUAUGAUAUGAUGGUAGGUUAGUGGUAGACAUGUCUUUAUGUAGUGUUAUGAUAUGAGGGUAGGUUAGUGGUAGACAUGUCUGUAUGUAGUGUUAUGAUAUGAGGGUAGGUUAGUGGUAGACAUGUCUGUAUGUAGUGUUAUGAUAUGAUGGUAGGUUAGUGGUAGACAUUUCUGUAUGUAGUGUUAUGAUAUGAGGGUAGGUUAGUGUUAUGAUAUGAGGGUAGGUUAGUGUUAGACAUGUCUGUAUGUAGUGUUAUGAUAUGAGGGUAGGUUAGUGGUAGACAUGUAUGUAUGUUGUGUUAUGAUAUGAGGGUAGGUUAGUGUUAUGAUAUGAGGGUAGGUUAGUGGUAGACAUGACUGUAUGUAGUGUUAUGAUAUGAAGGUAGGUUAGUGGUAGACAUGUCUGUAUGUAGUGUUAUGAUAUGAGGGUAGGUUAGUGUUAUGAUAUGACGGUAGGUUAGUGUUAUGAUAUGAGGGUAGGUUAGUGUUAGACAUGUCUGUAUGUAGUGUUAUGAUAUGUGGGUAGGUUGGUGGUAGACAUGUAUGUAUGUAGUGUUAUGAUAUGAGGGUAGGUUAGUGGUUACUUUAUCCUAUCCCAGGUAUUCCUUAAAGAGGUGGGGUUUCAGGUGUCUCCGGAAGGUGGUGAUUGACUCCGCUGUCCAGGCGUCGUGAG
This 2161-nucleotide long non-coding RNA is filed under the name Salmo salar (Atlantic salmon). RNAcentral describes it as "lncRNA (ENSSSAG00000101455.1)". The record is from RNAcentral. Lineage: Eukaryota; Metazoa; Chordata; Actinopteri; Salmoniformes; Salmonidae.